Molecule: ribosomal RNA, 253 nt
Filed under: uncultured bacterium
Lineage: Bacteria
Description: partial 16S ribosomal RNA
Rfam family: Bacterial small subunit ribosomal RNA
Source: RNAcentral
UACGAAGGGUGCAAACGUUGCUCGGAAUCAUUGGGCGUAAAGCGCACGUAGGCGGCCUCGCAAGUUGGAUGUGAAAUCCCUGGGCUCAACCCAGGAACUGCGUCCAAGACUGGGAGGCUUGAAUCCGGGAGAGGGAUGCGGAAUUCCAGGUGUAGCGGUGAAAUGCGUAGAUAUCUGGAGGAACACCGGUGGCGAAGGCGGCAUCCUGGACCGGUAUUGACACUGAGGCGCGAAAGCCAGGGGAGCAAACGGG